UACGUAGGGAGCAAGCGUUGUUCGGAUUUACUGGGCGUAAAGGGCGCGUAGGCGGCGCGGUAAGUCACUUGUGAAAUCUCUGAGCUUAACUCAGAACGGCCAAGUGAUACUGCAGUGCUAGAGUGCAGAAAGGGCAAUCGGAAUUCUUGGUGUAGCGGUGAAAUGCGUAGAUAUCAAGAGGAACACCUGAGGCGAAGGCGACUACCUGGCCCAUUCUUGACGCUGAGGCGCGAAAGCUAGGGGAGCGAACGGG
This 253-nucleotide ribosomal RNA is filed under the name uncultured bacterium. Its description in RNAcentral is "partial 16S ribosomal RNA". It matches the Rfam family "Bacterial small subunit ribosomal RNA", at positions 524 to 776 of the family's 1533-position model. The record is from RNAcentral.